Vulpes vulpes (red fox) is the source of this 162-nucleotide small nuclear RNA. Its record names the gene U1. It matches the Rfam family "U1 spliceosomal RNA". Rfam says of the family: U1 is a small nuclear RNA (snRNA) component of the spliceosome (involved in pre-mRNA splicing). Its 5' end forms complementary base pairs with the 5' splice junction, thus defining the 5' donor site of an intron. Lineage: Eukaryota; Metazoa; Chordata; Mammalia; Carnivora; Canidae. The record is from Ensembl.
UUACUUACUUGGUUGGGGAGAUACAGUCAGGGAGGUGGUUUUCCCAGAGCGAGUUCUAUCUGUUACCCUCAGGAUGUGCUGACCCCUGCGAUUUCCUCAAAUGUGGGGAAACUCGGCUGUAUAAUUUGUGGGGGGCUGGUAGUGUAUUGGCCCUUUCCCUUG